Felis catus (domestic cat) is the source of this 2076-nucleotide long non-coding RNA. RefSeq lists it as uncharacterized. The record is from RefSeq and is a predicted model, not a curated record. Lineage: Eukaryota; Metazoa; Chordata; Mammalia; Carnivora; Felidae. The transcript has 2 exons.
AAAAAAAAAAAAAAAAAGGACACACCCAGAGCCAAACAAAGUUGGGUUUUUUGAUGUGAUUCAUAAAAACAUGCAUCAUGGGGGACCAUGUGGCGUCCCAGGAAGGAGGUACUGUAAAGGACCUUAAGGAGUUGGGGUGGGUGAUAUGGUGGAGUGGGGGCUCCAAGAAGCAGGGCCGUGCUCUGGCUUGACUGCUGUCAGGAAGCAGAGAUGAUUCCACUCCUGGAUCUCAAUAAUUGUUAUCCAGGAAGCAGGACAAACCAUAUGAGGUUAAAGUAGUGACUGGAAGAGAAGACGCCGUCUCUCGUGUUAGCCAGGUAGGGGAUGUUGGAUCGUUUUUGUGGUUCGAAUGCGCUCCUGUUUUUGUCUGAGCAGACCUGAUUACCAGCGCCGUUGUUUUUGUCUUGGUCCAGCACGGACACAGGGUGACCUGGCCUGAUGGUUCAGUGAAAUCAGUGUUCGGUAGGGCCAGCUGCGAGGGCCAGGCCAGCCCCACCUGCCAGGGGCUGCUGUCUUCUCACCAUUCAUCCAUGUGCUUUUUUCUCAAACACAUAAUACGGUGUGCUGUCUCUGUGACGGGCACUCAGUGAUUUACAAGCCCAAGUUCAUUUAAUCAGAUGCCACCCUAGAACCCUCCCUCACCUCAGGUGCCGUGUCACCCUUGUCCUGGCUUCUCUCCGCAGCCUCCUACGGGCUGGUAUCUGUGUGCUCCAUGAGGACGGGGCCUUCUGUUUUUUUGGCUGCGGUAUCCUCAUUGCCUGGAACCUAGCAGGUGCUCAAAAACUUUGUUGAUGAUGCUGACGUUUAAUUAAAGAAUGUGUUGUCUGUAUGAUACAUACAUGCCCGGCCAAAUCGCACCUGGUCUCUUCCAGUAGAAAUUUUCCAAAGCUCUGAUUCCCAGGGCCACUGUUCUAAAAGACAAUUCGCGGUACUCCCAUCCACCCCACCCCCCAUUAUCCAUCCAUCCAUCCACUCAUCCAUCCAUCCAUCCACUUGCCCAUCCAUCCACCUGAGCACACAUCCAUCCACCCACCCACCUGACCAUCCAUCCAUCCAUCCAUCCACCUGACCACCCACGCAUCCAUCCAUCCAUCCAUCCAUCCAUCCAUCCAUCUACCAUCUAUCCACCCAUCCAUCCACCAUCUAUCCACCCAUCCACCUGCACUAGUUUUUAUUGGUUUGUACAUAACUUAUUCGAAAGUGAAUGUCUUUAGAAAGUUUCCCCUAAAUAAGUUUUCCUUUCUUGUUUUUCCUUCUCCGUGUGUUUACUGGGCUGCUAUGUCAGGUGCUUUGCUAACUAACACGUGGCUGGGCCCGUGGGUCCGGGAGGCAACACUGGCGUCCUGAGCGCGAGGUCCCUCCGCCCAGGAAGUGCAGGAGACAGCCCGGCAUAGGAUGACCUGGGGUGGGGGGCUGUAGGGAGGGGAAGAGGACUUGGGAUCCGCACAGGGGUACCGCGAGCCACACCAGCCACCGCCGCGACUACAGGACAGGAGGGGGCGGUACCUGGAGGGAGUGAUGGGGCGGGGCUGGAGAGGGCCUGGCAAGGGGUGACGUGACUGACGUGGCGCAGCGAGAGGGCACAGGCGGAAGGGGCGUGGCCAAUACGGGUGAGGGGCGGGGCUAGGCGGCUGCAGUUUAGAUUGGGCGAGGCCUCCGAGGAUAGCGCGGGUGGAGCCAGACUAAAACAACAAUGACAAAAGCGAAUUUCCUCCAGUGUCCUUGAUGUCGAAGUCUGCAAUUCUACCAUGUUUUGAACUGGACUGGUAGCUCAGAUUGGACUCAGAUGAGGACUGUGGAUUCCAUUGUUUUGUUUUGUUUUUUAACAUUUUUAAUUUAAUUUGAACUUAAUCAUGCAGGGAAAUGUACACUUUUUGCUAAACAGUGAUAAUCAUAUAACCACCACCAUGAUCAAGAUGCAGGAUAAUUCCGUUCACCCCCCAAAAUUCCCUCAUGCUGACCCUUUGUGGUCUGUGCCUCCCCCUACACCCCUACACACAUCCCUGACGAUGCCCCCUCCAUCCCUAAAGUUUUGUCUUUGCAUGAAUAUCAUAUAAAUGGAAUCAUCAUACAGUA